RNAcentral lists this ribosomal RNA (283 nucleotides) under uncultured bacterium. RNAcentral describes it as "partial 16S ribosomal RNA". It matches the Rfam family "Bacterial small subunit ribosomal RNA", at positions 233 to 507 of the family's 1533-position model. The record is from RNAcentral.
GCGGCCCAUUAGCUUAGUUGGUGGGGUCAAGGCCUACCAAGGCAACGAUGGGUAGCUGGUCUGAGAGGACGAUCAGCCACACUGGGACUGAGACACGGCCCAGACUCCUACGGGAGGCAGCAGUGGGGAAUCUUGCGCAAUGCGCGAAAGCGUGACGCAGCAACACCGCGUGAGGGAAGACGGCCUUAGGGUUGUAAACCUCUUUCAGAUGGGACGAAGGUGAUGCGGUGAAUAGCCGAUGUCAUUGACGGUACCGUCAGAAGAAGCUCCGGCUAACUACGUG